AUUGAACGCUGGCGGCAGGCCUAACACAUGCAAGUCGAACGAGUGGCGGACGGGUGAGUAAUGUCUGGGAAACUGCCUGAUGGAGGGGGAUAACUACUGGAAACGGUAGCUAAUACCGCAUACCAUCGGAUGUGCCCAGAUGGGAUUAGCUUGUUGGUGGGGUAACGGCUCACAAAGGCGACGAUCCCUAGCUGGUCUGAGAGGAUGACAAGCCACACUGGAACUGAGAAACGGUCCAGACACCUACGGGAGGACGCAGUGGGGAAUAUUGCACAAUGGGCGCAAGCCUGAUGCAGCCAUGCCGCGUGUAUGAAGAAGGCCGUCGGGUUGUAAAGUACUUUCAGCGGGGAGGCGUUACCCGCAGAAGAAGCACCGGCUAACUCCGGGCCAGCCGCCGGGUAAUU
RNAcentral lists this ribosomal RNA (404 nucleotides) under uncultured bacterium. RNAcentral's name for it is "partial 16S ribosomal RNA". It matches the Rfam family "Bacterial small subunit ribosomal RNA", at positions 30 to 525 of the family's 1533-position model. The record is from RNAcentral.